UUCACCCUAGUAACCCUUGACUUGGACGGGGUGUUUGUUAUUCUAAUGAGGAGCCCCAACCCCCUCCCUAUAUCCGUGCAGGUAUAACCCCUUCGGAGUCAUCUGCAUGCAGCAUCUGCUUUCAGUCCGGCGCGAGACGGCGGACGACACGGCCGCAGAUAUGAAACGAGAAGAAAUGAUCAAUUGGGAAGACAUCCCAACAACCAUCAGUGUUGAUGAUGAUAUGGAGUGUGAUAUAACAUUGUCUUCAUAAGUGCCUGCUUAAGUUAAAGGAUUGCUUUUUUCAAAGAACCGAGUUCAAGAAAUCCGACGAGGUUGCAUUUCAAGUACUCCACAUGGCUUUAAAAUAAAAGUAACUCACCUCAAGACGUCUCGGGAGCUGUUGAUUUUCCCAGGAUGUCUUCCACACCCCUUGCUGGCCAAUGGAGGAGUGAUGCCAGGAGCAAGAGGCACCGGGGGUGGCGGCGCUGGAAACGCAGGCCCGGGGGUGGCGGCCCAGGGGUGGUGGGGGCGGCCGGCUCCACCCCACUACGGGCUGCAAUUUUUAAAUAAUAACGUUCCUCGUACAAUACGAACCUUGGACGAUUUGACCGAGUGACCUUGGCCGCCAGGACACAUCGAGCAACCCGGCAUAAUAUGAAAGGCAUUUCCCUUAGGAUGAGACCCGUUGAAGGAUGGCCCGGCGUGUUUGGGGGUUAUGAGACCGUAUAUUUUGCCACUUAUGCAAAGUAACCCUAUUAAGUGUGAUUUAUGAUUUCAGGAGAAUGCGAUGCCGAGGGGCGGCGGAUGUGCGACAAGAGCAGAAGCGAGGAUGAGCGGCGUCAACAAAACAAAAAUAACCAUCUCUC
Cimex lectularius (bed bug) is the source of this 848-nucleotide long non-coding RNA. RefSeq lists it as uncharacterized. Lineage: Eukaryota; Metazoa; Arthropoda; Insecta; Hemiptera; Cimicidae. The transcript has 4 exons. The record is from RefSeq and is a predicted model, not a curated record.